Molecule: RNA transcript, 2917 nt
Organism: Crotalus tigris (Tiger rattlesnake)
Lineage: Eukaryota; Metazoa; Chordata; Lepidosauria; Squamata; Viperidae
Gene: INTS11
Gene name: integrator complex subunit 11
Exons: 23
Source: RefSeq, a predicted model, not a curated record
CGCCACUCCGCGGGCGUUGCGUACGAUGGGCUUGGGAGUCAGGCGAGUAGCGAAGGGUGGUUGGUUGCAGGCGGAGAAGCGACGGCUCGCCACCUUUCCAGGAAACUUUGGUCGUGCUCGCUGGUAAUGCCGAGACGGUGAUCGCUGCAGAGCCUUGCGGAGCCGCUUUCCUUCCGGGAUGCCUGAAAUAAAAGUCACCCCCCUGGGAGCUGGCCAAGAUGUGGGUCGCAGCUGCAUCCUUGUGUCCAUUGCAGGGAAGAACGUCAUGCUGGAUUGCGGGAUGCACAUGGGAUUCAAUGAUGAUAGGCGGUUUCCUGAUUUUUCCUACAUCACUCAGAACGGAAGGCUGACUGACUUCCUCGACUGUGUCAUCAUUAGCCACUUCCAUUUGGAUCACUGUGGGGCCCUCCCUUACUUCAGCGAGAUGGUCGGCUACGAUGGGCCCAUUUACAUGACCCACCCAACGAAAGCCAUUUGCCCCAUUCUCCUGGAAGAUUUCCGGAAAAUCACCGUGGACAAGAAAGGGGAGACCAAUUUCUUCACGUCCCAGAUGAUCAAGGACUGCAUGAAGAAAGUGGUGGCUGUCCACCUUCACCAGACUGUGCAGGUGGACAGCGAGUUGGAGAUUAAGGCCUAUUAUGCUGGCCACGUCCUUGGGGCUGCGAUGUUCCAGAUUAAAGUCGGUUGCGAAUCGGUGGUUUAUACUGGUGACUAUAACAUGACACCAGACAGGCAUUUGGGGGCUGCCUGGAUUGACAAAUGCCGUCCCAACCUGCUGAUCUCUGAGUCCACGUACGCCACCACCAUCAGGGACUCCAAACGCUGUAGAGAAAGGGAUUUUUUGAAGAAGGUCCACGAGAGCAUUGAGCGCGGAGGGAAGGUCCUGAUCCCAGUCUUUGCUCUGGGCCGGGCUCAAGAACUCUGCAUUUUGCUGGAGACCUUCUGGGAGCGCAUGAACCUGAAGGCGCCCAUCUACUUCUCAACGGGGCUGACGGAGAAGGCAAACCACUACUACAAGCUCUUCAUCACGUGGACGAAUCAGAAGAUCCGGAAAACCUUUGUCCAGCGGAACAUGUUUGAGUUCAAGCACAUCAAAGCUUUUGAGAGGACCUAUGUGGACAACCCUGGGCCCAUGGUUGUGUUUGCUACGCCAGGGAUGCUGCAUGCGGGCCAGUCACUCCAUAUCUUCAAGAAAUGGGCUGGCAACGAGAAAAACAUGGUCAUCAUGCCCGGGUAUUGUGUCCAAGGAACAGUGGGCCACAAAAUUUUGGGUGGACAGCGGAAGCUAGAAAUGGAAGGAAGACAAAUUCUGGAAGUCAAGAUGCAGGUGGAGUACAUGUCCUUCAGCGCACACGCCGACGCCAAGGGCAUCAUGCAGCUCAUCCGGCAAGCCGAACCCCGCAACGUCCUCCUGGUCCAUGGCGAGGCCAAGAAGAUGGAGUUUCUGAAGCAGAAAAUCGAGCAGGAAUUCCGGGUCCAGUGCCACAUGCCUGCCAAUGGGGAAACGGUGUCCAUUUUCACCAAUCCUAACAUCCCGGUGGAUAUUUCUCUCGGGCUACUGAAGAGAGAGCUGGCCAUUGGACCCUCGCCGGCCUCCAAGAAGCCGAAGCUGUUGCACGGCACCCUGAUCAUCAAGGAUAACAGUUUCCGCUUGGUUUCUUCCGAGCAAGCCCUGAAGGAAUUGGGGCUGGGGGAGCACCAGCUGCGCUUCACCUGCCGGAUCCACUUCCAAGACCCCCGCAAGGAACACGAGACCGGCCUGCGUGUUUACAACCACCUGAAAAGCGCCUUGAAGGAUUAUUCCGUCCAGCAUCUCUCAGACGCCUCCAUCAUGGUGGAGUCCAUCUUGAUCCAGGUUACGGUCCAGUCUGAAGAUCCCACCACCAAACUUCUGCUGGUCUCCUGGACGUACCAGGAUGAAGAAAUGGGGAGCUACGUCACCUCUCUGCUGAAAAAGGCCCUGCCUCAGAUCACAGGGUGAACCCCUGGGUGCCUCCAGCUGCUGCCGCCACAGACUUUUAGCUGCAGAGAGCGGCAGGUUUGCACAAGAGUGGGCAGAAGAGAAAAAUCCAUGUUUGUUUUAGUCAUUUUGGAGGGUCUGGGAUGAAGCCGAUCAGCAAAGGCUCACCGGCUCUCCAGAAGACAGGGCCUCUGGCUCCACCAUUUGGGGAAACCAGAAGUGAUGUAUUUAUUUAAGAAGAAAAGACUCCUGAAUUUAAGACGAGCACAGAUUUGAGUCUCUGGCUCAAUGCCCCACCACCCAAGAGAUUAAACCCACAUUUCUGGAAACGGAAGAGACUCACCGGAUGGGCUCUGAAAGGAGAUGCUUGUUGAGCACCUGGACGAGGACGUCUUCGGAGAAGGGGGGCUGCCCCUCCUUCCUCUGGACAUCCAGUGGAUCAGCCCUGGGCAAAGGGGAUUCCUUGGAAAUGAAGCACACCGGCCCGGCUGAUCUCUAAAAGAUCGCAGCAGCAAGGCCGGAUCCGGUGGUUCGCAGUUGGGAGGCAAGAUCACCAGGAAGGUCAUAAGCUCCGUGGGGCAGUCUAAGGGAGCCCAAACAAUCCAGAAGGGGGCAGCGGUGAGCCGAACAAGCACAGAGGCAAGCCAGGCUGACUCCACUCAAGGUGAUUUUCCACACCAACAGCCGACAUGCCGGAGGGCAGAGCCUUCACACCGCUGCAGAGGGCGAAGACAGAAAAAAGUGAAAUUAUGCUUUCCCAAUGGUGUCAAUGCAUGGACAAAUCAGAUGCUUUGAGAAGACAAGAGUGACCAGAACAACAGAGUUUGGAAGGGAUCUUGGAGGUCUUCUAGUCCAACCCCCUGCUCAAGCAGGAACCUUACACCAUUUUAGACAAGUGGCUGUCCGAUCUGUUCUUAAAAGCCUCCAGGGAUGGAGCACCCACAACAGAUGGAGGCA